Non-coding RNA from Paramuricea clavata, 1259 nucleotides. The record is from the annotation of a GenBank genome assembly. Lineage: Eukaryota; Metazoa; Cnidaria; Anthozoa; Malacalcyonacea; Plexauridae.
AAAAAACAAAAACAAGCAAUUGCAAAACGAAUUAUUGUCUCAUUCAGUGCAGCUUGCCAGUUAGAACAGGGAGUGAAUACGACAAAGAGUGCCUUUAAUAUGUAAAUGUUUAUAAAAUUACAACACAUGUACAAAUUUGAAUUCAAUUUGAAUAUUUUUAGUAUUCAUAUAACAUAUGCGGUGUCAAUAUUUGCUCCCAGUGGCUACAGAAAGGUCAUACGUUGUACUUCAUCUUGUUAAAUGUCUUCGCUCCAACCACAAAUCUGGAUGAAUAGCAUACCAGGGAUUAGGUUUUUAGAUUGCCAAGAACAAAAUUUCAUUAAACAUGUUAAAAAGUUGAGGGGGGGGGGAUAAUUAGAUAUUCGUACCCACUCCAAAAACUGGGGGGACUCGUCCCCCCCCCCAUCCCCCCAGGAUUGACGCCCAUGAGCAUGCCUGCUAGGGACAUGCCUUCAAAAAUAAUUAACACUUAUUUACUUUGAGCGAAGGAAACAGUAUGUUUUUCGAGAAGCGAGGGAAUGUGGGAUUGUUCACCAGUGGCUUAGCAAGCUCGAUAAUUCGGGGGGGGGGCUAAAAUUCAUAUAUUCGUGUUCUGCAUUAUUAAUUUCUUUUGAAAUCAAUUGUGUUGGAUUGUAGCUCAUCUGAACUAAACAGUAGGUAGAACUACUUGCUGACGUGUACUGAAUGCUAAUGAGGAAAAUUGUUAAAAUAUUUCAAGAUAUUGGCAAAAUUUCGAGAUGCAAGAAAGGUAAAGAGAAGAAAAAUAUUAUGUGACUCGUGCAGGCAUGACUAUAGACAUAACAUAUAAGUAUUCUUUAUUAAAAACUCGGUCAUCCCACAGCUGUCCAUCCUAUCCAGCCACUUAUUGCUCUCAACUAUUUAUAGGAAGCUGCAAAGAGUCUAUAUCCCAGAAGAGUUGUCGCUACGUGCGUGAUGCAUAUAUUAUGGAAUACCUGUCAAAAUAUUUGUACUUUAUGGCAGAAAAGUUAUUUGCAUGUAAGCACCUUACCUAAGUGGGUGUGUUAAACUGGGCAAGAAACCAAAUUUUAAACACACAUCUCUCUUCUAAAUAUUCUUUGCGUUUGUACAGUCCCUUAUCUAAAAAUUAACGUACCUAUUUAGUCUAGAAAAUCUACAAUUUACUACUGUUAACGAAUAGAUCAGUCCCGUUCAUUUCACGUUUGACACUUAACAAAUAUAAAACAUUGUCCGUGUUGAUAUACAGUUAUAUCAACACGAGUGGGAAUUGGGAAAACGAG